This 253-nucleotide ribosomal RNA is filed under the name uncultured bacterium. Its description in RNAcentral is "partial 16S ribosomal RNA". It matches the Rfam family "Bacterial small subunit ribosomal RNA", at positions 524 to 776 of the family's 1533-position model. The record is from RNAcentral.
UACGGAGGGGGCUAGCGUUGUUCGGAAUUACUGGGCGUAAAGCGCACGUAGGCGGCUUUGUAAGUUAGAGGUGAAAGCCCGGGGCUCAACCCCGGAAUUGCCUUUAAGACUGCAUCGCUAGAAUUGUGGAGAGGUAAGUGGAAUUCCGAGUGUAGAGGUGAAAUUCGUAGAUAUUCGGAAGAACACCAGUGGCGAAGGCGACUUACUGGACAGAUAUUGACGCUGAGGUGCGAAAGCGUGGGGAGCAAACAGG